AAAAUAGAAAGGUGUGGUCUACCACCCAUUGUAGGGCCCACCAUCUUCCUAGUGGUGUUGACUUCUCCAUAUGCUUGCCCAUUCAAAUAUCAGAAUUCAAAAGUUGGAGAGAGAGAGAGAGAGAGAGAGAGAGAGAGUCUUGUGGAAGUGAAUUGCAAAGAAUCUAGGAUAAGAAGCAUUUAAGGUCUGAAAGAGGUUUGAGAGAGAGAGAGAGAGAGAGAGAGAUGGUUAAGGAAUGGAAAGAGGAGAUGGCUUCUCAAAAGACAAAGCCUCAGCGGCUGAUGGCGGCGGAUGCGCUGCCGGGUGCGGCGCGGCCUGUGGUGCUUGAAUUGCCCCAUCAAUAUGGAGAUUAAGGGCCCAUUUCCACGUUUCGUGAUCGAUGGAUGGAGCGAUUUUUCAAGGUGUUUUAGUUCACAGUGCCAUUUUCCUUUCUUUCUUGUAAGCCACCUACUCUGAAGAAAAAUCUUCAACUUGGUGUAACAACAUGAUGUGUGAUGGUUAGUAUAGAAUUUUCUACACACUAGUGAUCUAGACCAUUCAUUAGGUCCAAAGAAAAUUUCAUGGGCAGCCAUGAAAGCAUCACAUCAAUCUGACAAAAUAUUAGCAAUGAUCAAUGAUCUUUAAUAUGGAUAGUCAA
Long non-coding RNA from Magnolia sinica, 637 nucleotides. RefSeq lists it as uncharacterized. The transcript has 2 exons. The record is from RefSeq and is a predicted model, not a curated record. NCBI's taxonomy places the organism in Eukaryota, Viridiplantae, Streptophyta, Magnoliopsida, Magnoliales, Magnoliaceae.